GACGAGCGCUGGCGGCGUGCCUAAUACAUGCAAGUUGAGCGAUGAAGAUUGGUGCUUGCACCAAUUUGAAGAGCAGCGAACGGGUGAGUAACGCGUGGGGAAUCUGCCUUUGAGCGGGGGACAACAUUUGGAAACGAAUGCUAAUACCGCAUAACAACUUUAAACAUAAGUUUUAAGUUUGAAAGAUGCAAUUGCAUCACUCAAAGAUGAUCCCGCGUUGUAUUAGCUAGUUGGUGAGGUAAAGGCUCACCAAGGCGAUGAUACAUAGCCGACCUGAGAGGGUGAUCGGCCACAUUGGGACUGAGACACGGCCCAAACUCCUACGGGAGGCAGCAGUAGGGAAUCUUCGGCAAUGGACGAAAGUCUGACCGAGCAACGCCGCGUGAGUGAAGAAGGUUUUCGGAUCGUAAAACUCUGUUGGUAGAGAAGAACGUUGGUGAGAGUGGAAAGCUCAUCAAGUGACGGUAACUACCCAGAAAGGGACGGCUAACUACGUG
This 497-nucleotide ribosomal RNA is filed under the name uncultured bacterium. RNAcentral's name for it is "partial 16S ribosomal RNA". It matches the Rfam family "Bacterial small subunit ribosomal RNA", at positions 28 to 507 of the family's 1533-position model. The record is from RNAcentral.